AGGUCGGGAGGCUGCCGGUGGGACGGCGGCCGCGCAUGGACCGGAACCCCCCUGUUUCACGGACUGACCGCCGGGGCCCCGACGGCCGGUCAG
This 93-nucleotide non-coding RNA is filed under the name unclassified sequences. RNAcentral's name for it is "Rhodo-rpoB RNA". It matches the Rfam family "Rhodo-rpoB RNA". The record is from RNAcentral.